GCCCUUGUAGCUCAGCUGGUAGAGCAGCGGUUUUGUAAGCCGAAGGUCGCGGGUUCGAUCCCUGCCGGGGGCACCA
RNAcentral lists this transfer RNA (76 nucleotides) under Mesorhizobium sp. B1-1-5. Its description in RNAcentral is "tRNA-Thr". It matches the Rfam family "tRNA". From Rfam's summary of the family: Transfer RNA (tRNA) molecules are approximately 80 nucleotides in length. Their secondary structure includes four short double-helical elements and three loops (D, anti-codon, and T loops). Further hydrogen bonds mediate the characteristic L-shaped molecular structure. tRNAs have two regions of fundamental functional importance: the anti-codon, which is responsible for specific mRNA codon recognition, and the 3' end, to which the tRNAs corresponding amino acid is attached (by aminoacyl-tRNA synthetases). tRNAs cope with the degeneracy of the genetic code in two manners: having more than one tRNA (with a specific anti-codon) for a particular amino acid; and 'wobble' base-pairing, i.e. permitting non-standard base-pairing at the 3rd anti-codon position. The record is from RNAcentral. Lineage: Bacteria; Pseudomonadati; Pseudomonadota; Alphaproteobacteria; Hyphomicrobiales; Phyllobacteriaceae.